Molecule: RNA transcript, 1287 nt
Organism: Balaenoptera acutorostrata (minke whale)
Lineage: Eukaryota; Metazoa; Chordata; Mammalia; Artiodactyla; Balaenopteridae
Gene: MIR9-1HG
Gene name: MIR9-1 host gene
Exons: 3
Source: RefSeq, a predicted model, not a curated record
UGGGUUCUAGUCAUUCAGUCCUCUGGGUAGAUCAGUUCUCCAGCCAGAAUUGUGUCCCAAGGUUCUGCUUUCAGCUCUUUUUUUUUUUCCCUUUCCACUCAUGCUCUUUCACUUUUAUCAUUUCAACCAUCAUUUGGAAUUAAAACACUCACUCAUUUCUCUAAACUCCAGAUUUGCACCCUAACUACUGUGGUCCUGUCAUUAGCUCCCAGAUCAGACUGGAGUGGUGCAUCUGAUUGGCUAAGCCUGGACCGCAUGACCAGGCCCUAGCUGCAAGGAAACCAGGGAAAGUACCUGUGCUUUUGGCUUCUGUAGUGGCUUAUAAGUACAACCUCCCUCCAAAACUCAUGAGAUGGCCAUUCCCCAAACAUAGGGAGGGCAUUUAGAUGCUUACUCACUCGGCAUUGUGCUUUCAGUCUUGCGCUACAUUCCUGCUUCCCCACCUCUAUCAAUAGCAUCAUUAAACUUCUAGGUCCUCAGGUGCAAAUCCUGAGCAUUAUCCUGGCUUUGCCUUCUUCCUUUCCCCUUCAUCCAGAUCGGUCACAUCAGAACCCAUCACUUUGUCCUCAGUAGCGCUUCUCACAUCCAUGCCUUCCUUUCCCUUACGCAUAUCUCCAUGUCAGCUCAUUCACUGAACAGGCAUUUAUUGGGUGCCUACUGUGUGCCAGGUGCUAUGUUGAAGAGGAAGGUGGAAUACAAAGCUGCUUUGAGGGCCUAGCAGCCUGGUGGGGGAGGCAGACACGAAUAAUUACAAGACAGUGUAAAGGCUGCUGUCCUGAAGACUUAUACAAGGUGCUGUGCAGCAUGCGGGCCGGAGCCCUGGGACACCUUAGGAAAUUCCAUGAUCUUGCUUACUGCUGUCUUGGGAAGUCCUUUCCAGUGUCUAACCAAGAUCUGUACUACUGAAGUACCAGUUCUUUGACAUUUGGCUUGACAUGGCUCAUCUGAGAGACCAAAAAGAAGAACCUACUUCACCCAGCUGGCUUGGGUUCCCUCUGAGAAGCCGUCCUGAUUGACUGAAAGAUAAGGCUAAACUCUAGCAAGUUGAAGAGCUCUUUCAAGAAGCCUUUGAGCCAGAGAGAAGUGGGGAGGCCCUAGCCUCCAGCCUGGGCAGCCCACUGUACCUGAGCCACCUGGGAUAAGACUUUGCUUCACCAUUGCUCCCAGGUCUACAAGCUGUCCGUCCCACCCGUCCUGGUCUCUCUUGUGUUGUCUGAGCUGAGAUUCCUCUGAGAUGGAAGUCCGGUCUCCUGUCUAAUAAAGACUCUUGAAUACUGAACAACAGUA